AUGCACGCUGGCGGCGUGCCUAAUACCUGCAAGUCGAGCGAACAGACGAGGAGCUUGCUCCUCUGACGUUAGCGGCGGACGGGUGAGUAACACGUGGAUAACCUACCUAUAAGACUGGGAUAACUUCGGGAAACCGGAGCUAAUACCGGAUAAUAUAUUGAACCGCAUGGUUCAAUAGUGAAAGACGGUUUUGCUGUCACUUAUAGAUGGAUCCGCGCCGCAUUAGCUAGUUGGUAAGGUAAAGGCUUACCAAGGCAACGAUGCGUAGCCGACCUGAGAGGGUGAUCAGCCACACUGGAACUGAGACACGGUCCAGACUCCUACGGGAGGCAGCAGUAGGGAAUCUUCCGCAAUGGGCGAAAGCUUGACGGAGCAACGCCGCGUGAGUGAUGAAGGUCUUCGGAUCGUAAAACUCUGUUAUUAGGGAAGAACAAAUGUGUAAGUAACUAUGCACGUCUUGACGGUACCUAAUCAGAAAGCCACGGCUAACUACGUG
Molecule: ribosomal RNA, 496 nt
Filed under: uncultured bacterium
Lineage: Bacteria
Description: partial 16S ribosomal RNA
Rfam family: Bacterial small subunit ribosomal RNA
Source: RNAcentral